AUCGAGCUUCAUUCACAACUAAACUUCACCAUUUAGGUGUCAAAAUUAAAUUAAGAGGAUGGAGAUUUGAUUAAUACCCUUUUAGCUCAGAACUGUGGCUGGAAAACACCUGUAAAAGCUUCGAAUCAACGAAAAAAUCUGGGAAGUUUUCCCCUGGUUGCUUUUGCACAGGGAAUGGCUAUAGAGAGAGAGAAAGACAUAUUUCAUGUUCUCGGGGCUUGGAUUUCACGAUGUAAGGUCAUACGGUGGUGCAGUCAUGCUUACUGGAGCAACAACGUGUGAUGGUGGUGGUGGCAUAUGGUUCCUAGAAAAGGAGAGUGAGUGAGAGAAGGAAAGUGACAGAGAGAGACGAAGGAAAGAGAGCUCCGAGGGAGUGAGAAAGUGAAUAGAGAGGUUCGAGAGUUAUUCAUGGGAGGGAGAAAAUAGAAAGGAAAUGGGAAGUGGGCAGGGGAAUAAAAUCAAAAAGGGGCCCCACAUGGCACACCAUUUAAGGCCCAAAUAGUAACCCAAAUAAAAAAUAUCUGGCCCAAACAAGGAACAAUUACCAAAAUGCCCUUUCACACUAAAAUCUGUAAAACAUUAUCGGGACGGGUUGUUACAUUUACCAAAUUGCCAAAUGAAUGAACCAUGAAUUUGCCACAAACUCUGACUCCAAACGGUGACCUCCAUCCAAAACCAAAGGAGAGUAAACUCUCUAAACUAAUGGUGUUGGCACAUAAAGAAAUUAACCCUAAGGUCCUGUUUACAGUGCAUAGGACUGAGGUUACAAUAAGAGAAUCCAAAUCCUAAUUGGAAGUAAAUCCAAAUCCUAAUCAAAUAGGUAAUUAACAAAAUCUCUCCACCAAGAAAUGAAUCCAAUCAUGAAGUCAAAUCCAAGCCCAAAUAAGACACUAAAAGAAAUCGGUAACACAAACCUAGCUUCUGCAUCAUCCUCAUUUUAAGCCGCAAAACCCACCAUCCUAAACGAUUGUGCCAAAGCAAGUAAAUUGCUCGAAUCAUCCGGCCAAGGGGGGCAUUGGCUCCUAAAUACGCUUCAGACUAUAUUCAUAGGAGUUGGUGCAAAGAUAUUUUACUCUAUUUUCUUCAGUGGUUUCAGUCAUGAUCAUUAUUCUCUCAAAUAUCUUUUAAAUCAACGACGUUCUUCCAAAACAUGGAAAAUAUAACACCUGUUUAAUGGUAAUUCAAUACCAUUCAUACAUUAAGGAGCGGUGCCAAGGUCCUUAAUCAGGUUGGAUACACCUAAAUUCAUCGUUAUUUAGGUAUGAAGUUAGUGUGUGUAGUAGCACAUUCAUCCAAACAACUAACUUCACCAUAUUUACACCUAAUCAUGUGUUUAAUAGAAUUCGGUCACAUGCAUACAAGAAAUAUGAUUAAAUUAACUCAUAUUUAAGAACAAUAUCCAUAACGUUAUCCAAAACUAAAACAAGCACCAAAAUUGAAUCUGGGAGCAUAAGAAAUCGUUCACUAAGUAAACCAAAAUUAACUAGGGGUUUGGCCAACAUGGCCUUUCCAAGUCAGACUUUUGCUCUUCCAAAUGUGUUUAGGUGGAGCAAAAUUGUUUUAUAGAUUGACUACAAGAAUGGUACUUCUCAACAACAUUGGUAGGGCACAGACAAGUGCAUAACCAAUGAUUUCUUCCUUCAAAACAAAACUAAAUUCUGCAAGUUGCAGGGGUAGUGUAUUAUCCAACAAUGCCUUCUUGUUGUAAAAACAAUGCAAAUGGAUCCUUUUGUUGUCCAAUUUCAAUGUAUUUACUAAAAUAUUAUCUUCCACGAUUUGAUCUCACAAUCUUAAUUUGUUUAUUCAAUUGUGUUUCAAUUCCAAGUUUAAAAGUUUAAAACAAUUAAGUAAAUGAUGUUUUAUUGAACUUAAAUAUAGAUGUGUAUACCGUAAAAAAAUCUUAUAUAUAAAGUCAGAAUGGCUUUUGAAUAGUGAUUUUUGGGUUCACAAGCUUCACCAAAAAAUAAGUGGACAGAAAUGCCCCUCAAACAAAAAACUUCAAAAGUAGUCCAAAAUAAUGCAUCAAAUGUGGCAAGGAUAUUUUCGUUAUUUUGAUAGUGUUUUUUUAAUAAUUAAUUUUUUUGUACAAUUUUUAUUUUUUUUAUUUUUUUAUAAUUAGCACCUCACAAUAGGCUAGCAAUAAUAUGAUUCAAUUAGUUGUUUAUUAAAUAUUAUUUUCUUUAUUUUUGAACACGUUCAAAACAUCUUAAGCGGCGUGUAAUGCCAGUUAUAAAAAUGGUCUUUCGCACUCGCAUAAUAAUGUGAUUAAAUUAGUUGUGAAAUGAUUUUUUGUUUUUUUUUAACAAACGAUAUUAUCUACAAUAAGGAGGAGGGGGUGAGCUUAGCCUAUGUGAUUUAAUCAAUCGUUUAUUAAAUAUUAUUUUUUCUAUUCUUAAUGUAAAUUUAAUAGAGGCUGAUAUUAUUAUGUGAAUUCAGCUGCUUUGAUUGGUUUUGAGGGGUUUCUUCUAGCAUGAUAUAAGAUUAUUCAUUUACUUCAAAUAGUUAACUUUCCUUUUGUCAAUUUAUGCAUAUAAGUACAUUUAAAACGUGUAAGUCGCGUGUGCAUGAAGAAAGUAAGAAUACCACAUAUUGUUUUUUGCUGAAAAUAGACUACACACGUGUAAAUGAUUUUUAAUCUUGCUGCCUAACAUAUACCAAAACCAAUGGUUUGGUUUAGGGGUGGGCA
RNAcentral lists this long non-coding RNA (2686 nucleotides) under Malus domestica (apple). RNAcentral's name for it is "long non-coding RNA (MDOM_LNC010633)". Lineage: Eukaryota; Viridiplantae; Streptophyta; Magnoliopsida; Rosales; Rosaceae. The record is from RNAcentral.